RNAcentral lists this long non-coding RNA (734 nucleotides) under Anas platyrhynchos platyrhynchos (common mallard). RNAcentral's name for it is "lncRNA (ENSAPLG00000021586.1)". The record is from RNAcentral. Lineage: Eukaryota; Metazoa; Chordata; Aves; Anseriformes; Anatidae.
CUCAGAAGGAACAAUCUUUUCAUAGAGAAUCCAGUAUUGUCCAGCAGAGAAGUAUUUAGGGAAACUCACUGGUUUCUGCAAAUUUGUUUGAAAAAAUAAUAAAGAGGUUUUUUUUUUUUCUGAGAAAGACUACUAUACUUAUUUAUUUAUUUAUUUUUUUCAGAUGGCAUCCUGAAUUAUUCUUGAGAGUAGAAAGUUCAUUUUUGAAGAUGCUGAUCUGGACUCACAAAGACAGUGGUUGUUGGUGCAAUCUCUGUGCUGAACUUAAGUGCUCAGAAUCCUAUUUUUGUUCUGCAUGAAACAUGACUGGAAACUUCACCUUGAGAACCUUCCAUCAAAACCAGAGUAAGUCAGGCAAAGUGUUCAAGCACUAAUCGGGUGCAGUGGAAGGCACAAGGCACAACAUGACCAUCUCAUAAGAACAGCUAACUCCAAUCAAAUCAGUGAUUCAAUUAUCCCAGUGUCCUGCCUCCAACUGCUGCCAAAAACAGGCGUCUGGGGAAGGAGGUAAGAAUAGAAAGAGCAUUUAAUGACAAUUUCCCAAGAUACUUUUGCAGCCUCUGGCAAUUUGCAAUUGCUCUUGUUUCCCUAUGGAACCCAACUAAAAUCUGUCAGUCUCAGAUUUCAUUACUGUGAGACGUGAAGUCAGCCUUCUCAGUGUGAACUGUUAAACACCUGAAGUGCAGAGCAAGAGGAGCUCGUGCAAGACCUCAGGUUCUGCAUCUGUGAAAUAU